GCCGAAGUAGCUCAGUUGGUAGAGCAACUGAUUCGUAAUCAGUAGGUCCGCGGUUCAAGUCCGCGCUUCGGCUCCA
This 76-nucleotide transfer RNA is filed under the name Acidobacteriota bacterium. RNAcentral's name for it is "Acidobacteria bacterium (bioreactor metagenome) tRNA-Thr". It matches the Rfam family "tRNA". From Rfam's summary of the family: Transfer RNA (tRNA) molecules are approximately 80 nucleotides in length. Their secondary structure includes four short double-helical elements and three loops (D, anti-codon, and T loops). The record is from RNAcentral. Lineage: Bacteria; Pseudomonadati; Acidobacteriota.